CAGUAGCCGCGGGAACACGGAGGGAGCUAGCGUUGUUCGGAAUUACUGGGCGUAAAGCGCACGUAGGCGGUUAUUCAAGUCAGAGGUGAAAGCCCGGGGCUCAACCCCGGAACUGCCUUUGAAACUAGAUGACUGGAAUCUUGGAGAGGUCAGUGGAAUUCCGAGUGUAGAGGUGAAAUUCGUAGAUAUUCGGAAGAACACCAGUGGCGAAGGCGACUGACUGGACAAGUAUUGACGCUGAGGUGCGAAAGCGUGGGGAGCAAACAGGAUUAGAUACCCGUGUAGUCCCUGUCUCUUAUAC
RNAcentral lists this ribosomal RNA (301 nucleotides) under uncultured bacterium. RNAcentral describes it as "partial 16S ribosomal RNA". It matches the Rfam family "Bacterial small subunit ribosomal RNA", at positions 509 to 807 of the family's 1533-position model. The record is from RNAcentral.